ACGAAGGAUGCAAGCGUUACUCGGAAUUACUGGGCGUAAAGCGUGCGUAGGUGGUUCGUUAAGUCUGAUGUGAAAGCCCUGGGCUCAACCUGGGAAUGGCAUUGGAUACUGGCGACCUAGAGUGCGGUAGAGGGUAGCGGAAUUCCCGGUGUAGCAGUGAAAUGCGUAGAUAUCGGGAGGAACACCAGUGGCGAAGGCGAGUCCCUGGACGAUACCCGACACUGAGGCACGAAAGCCAAGGGAGCAAACAGGA
Molecule: ribosomal RNA, 253 nt
Filed under: uncultured prokaryote
Description: partial 16S ribosomal RNA
Rfam family: Bacterial small subunit ribosomal RNA
Source: RNAcentral